RNAcentral lists this long non-coding RNA (5445 nucleotides) under Podarcis lilfordi (Lilford's wall lizard). Lineage: Eukaryota; Metazoa; Chordata; Lepidosauria; Squamata; Lacertidae. The record is from RNAcentral.
UAAGAAAGAAUGUAGAGUUCCAACAAAGCUAGUAGUAUUUAUCCAAUAAUGUAAAUAAUAUUAGAACACAUCCCUCUUUUCCUCCAAUGGAUUUAUAUGAUUCCAAAUAGUUUAGUCUCCCAUCCAAGUAUCUUAAGAGGAUUAAAUGACCUUAGCUUCAGCUGUUAAAUGCAGAAUGUGUAAAUUCAGGAGCUGGAAAAUGAAAAAAACAAGAGAUCUCCUAUUGUGACAACUCCUGUUUGCCUAGAAAUAUGCAAACUUCUCCAUUAAGCUCAAUCUCUUCAUAUAAUGAAUCUCCAUCCUGUUCCCUAUACAGAAGUUGGCGUUUCUCAAGACGUCACCUGUCAAUUGUGGCAAUUCUUCAUUCCAAACCACUGGGACUCCAUGUUUCACAGAACGGUCAAAAUGCUCGUUAAAAUAUGAGAGCUCACUUUGUUUCAAUUUGCAUUAAUGGCUCUGCAAUUAGAUAGCUGGACCUGUAAAUAUUUUUUAUGGCUCAUUACUUGCAGGUCAUACAUCCCACAGCACAAUUUUUUGAGGUGCCUUUGGGAAGCAAAUGUUUGUUAUCACCUUCUAGAAACUGUGUGUUAGAAAUUGGGCUAGGCCAAAUGGGUGGGGACGCUGGGUUCCCAUGCUGAAGAUUUGAGACAGGAUUAACAGGAUUAAUUUACACAACUGGCUUUCAGAAAAUAGCCUACAGGCCCUCAGAAUAGUGUUCCUGAGCUUGAAGUAUCAAACUCUGCUUACAUUUUGCAUUUUCCUGCCCAUGACAUACUUCACACAACCCAACCUUACAAGGAUUGGUAAAUCGUGUCGGUUUCAUAUUUCCAGUCUUACAUUCUGUUUAGAGCCCGUUUCCACAUCAGUUUGCAAAUGGGUGUGUCUGUGUUUUUUAUGUCUCCAUGGAAAUUUAUACCUUUUCCAGAAGCAUUUCUAUUUGUAUGCACUUCAGCAUGUGUUUCCCCUGUUAUAAACCUUUUUGUGCUAUGUUUUUGUUGGAGAGCUGCAAUGCAAAAUGCAAUGCGGAAAUGUGGAUUUUGAAGGAUAAAUGAGUUUCACUUUAUAUAUUGGUUCAGGAAUUAGGCAGGCUCACAACAAAAUACAGACCUAUCCGGUUACCCAACCAUUCCAACAUGGAGCUUUGUUUAUCUCUACACUAGUCGCUGUGGUAAGUGCAAUGAAACCCUUUGGUUGACUCUUUGGCUUGGAACAUCUUCAACUCCAUCCAGGAGUUUCCCAUAGAGACUCCUCAGGUCUUUCCUUUAUUCCAAUGUUUCUGUGUCUUGCUUAGAUUCAGGAUCCUAUUUUAGUGGAUACAAUUUGAGCCCUUGUUUAAGAUACAUAAUAUUAGUGCUGAAUUUCUGGAAAUUAACUUAUGGAACACGACUUAUUUUAAGUGAUUUCAAUUACAUCUGUUUAAGUUUUUUUUUCCAUUUCCAAGGCCCAGAGAUGUUUCAUUUACCUACGCUUACUUUUUAACAUCUUUAUUUAAUCUUCAUUUAAAUACAAUUUUAAAAUUAUCUGAUGCUCACGACAUGAUUGCCUAACGUGAGAUAAUAGCACCCAUCCCACUUAGAGCAAUUUAUUAUAAUUAUCCACUGAGCUGCUCCAGUAUUUUUUAAAAACUUGAACAAGGGAGAAUCAAUCUCUUAUGUUAUGAACAGCUCCUUAGAAGUAAGUAUUCCAUCUUGCUGACAUCAAAGUAUUGUGCGCAGGAAGCCUGAGAGAGCAUCUCUUCCACAAUGAGUGUAGAAAAGAAGGAACAACGCACAGAUGUUACCACAAAUGGGUUACACUCCCACAAACCAAAUGCUCAUGCAAGACCACCUAAAACAGGGAUAGUAGACAUUUUUUUUUCAUCCUGAGGGCAACAUUGCUUUCCAUACAACCACCAAGGAGCCAUAUGCCUGUGGUGGGUGGGGCCUGAUGCAAAAGUGGGAGGAGCAACAAACACAAUAGUACAGUUUCUACGCACACCCCUCUCUAUCCUGCAUCCAGGUAAUGAAAAAGUAGUAUGGACACAUUCCAGCCAUACAUACAAACAUGCAAGAAGGGCAUGAAGCAAGACCAGUAUGGGGUGGGGUCUGGUGAGAAGGCCUGGGGUCUGGAAAGUUCCCAAAGGGCUGGAUAGAGAAGCCUGAAGUACAUGGGCCUGAGAUUCCCCACCCCUGACUUAGACAUCCCUAUCCAGAGCCUCAGAAUAGCGUGAGAGCAGGGUAAGAUCAGGAGUAAAGAGGGGGAAGGGAAGCUGUUUUGUUGGCUGUCACCAACUGUCACCUGUUGGCAGCCUGUCAAUCAGGCUACUGAAAAUCCUUUGUCGCACAAAUAACCCAGAGAUGCAUUUUAAAUAAAAGGACACAUUCUAUUCAUGUAAAAACACGUUGAUUCCCGGACCGCCCAUGGGCUGGAUUUAGAAGACAAUUGGGCAGGAUUCAGCCCCCGGGCCUUCAGCACUAGUGCCUGGCUCUUUUCCCUCUCCCUCCUCACCUAUAUUUCCUUGUGUGCCAUGCUUUUUAGAUUGCACAUUUGAGGGCAGGGACUGUCUUGGUGUAGUGGUUAAGAGUGGUAGACCCGUAAUCUGGUGAACCGGGUUUGCGUCUCCGCUCCUCCUCAUGCAGCUGCUGGGUGACCUUGGGCCAGUCACACUUCUCUGAAGUCUCUCAGCCCUACUCACCUCACAGAGUGUUGUGGGGGAGGAAGGGAAAGGAGAUUGUUAGCCGCUUUGAGGCUCCUUAAGGGAAAGGCAGAAUAUCAAGUCCAAACUCCUCCUCCUCCUCCUUCUUGUUUUAUGGAUCUGGAAGCUAUGCUCCCCAACCCCUGGCUAGAGUGCAUGCAUAAAAUGUCUACCCUUUCUUUGGUUACUUGUAUAUAUUCAUUAUGUGGACUCAUGUGGUCUUUCCUCCUGUGUCUUAGAAUCAUAGAGUUGGAAGAGACCACAAGGGCCAUCGAGUCCAACCCCCACUGUGCUAGAAAACCACACACCUCACACUUGGGUUCAUCUCCACCGCAGCUUUAUACAAAUCAAAAGUAAUGGGAGGCUCCCUUCCGAUGUCUGCCCUGUAGUUCCCACACUAUCCUCCUAUUCCUUGCCUGAUUCACCCAUUUACAGUAAAAAUGUAAAGUCCUCGUUAAAAUCUCAGAUGGAAAGUAACUCAGUCUCUUCUGUCAGUUGCAUCUACAUUGGUAAAGAGAUAUAUGAUAUAUAUUUACGUAACCCAAGCCCUAAGAGUAUAGAGAGUGAAGAACACACUACAUUUCUAUAGCAACUUACACGAGAGAUGGAAAGCUAUAAGCUUGAGUUUCAGGAAAUGACCACAAGAGGGCAUGACAGUGAUACAGAAAGAAGAGAAAAGUAUUUUAAUCUAACCUUUUCCAAGUCGGGCUUCGGUUCUCCUUCAGGAGAUCUUUCCCAGAACAUUCCCUUUGACAUUCUUUUUGAAAGCCAUUUAUGAACGGUGUUAUUUGGCCGCCAACACUUGCCUGUCUCUUAAAGUCAUCUCUCGUGUUCCUGAAGCAUCUGAAAGUUGUGAGCUUUUAACACAUUCUCUCUAAACAGUAUUGCUCUUAACUGGUUUGCAUAGUGGCGAGAAGCAACAGCAACACCAUCAAUGCUCACAAUUAUACAGCUAGGGGUAGAAUUCGGGUUCCUGCUCCACAGUAAGUCACCAGAUGACUCCACCUUAAAGAGUGAAAUAUGAUAGGGGCAGUUGCAAACAAGCCUAGCAUCUGGGCUGGUACAGAAUGUGGUGGUUAGCUUGUUUCUGAGGACAAAUUACAACCUGCAUAAAGCACUUUGCUUGUGAGAUUUGCACUGGCUGCCAGUUUACUAGUGGGCAAAGUUGUUAUGAGUAUGUAAAUCUCUAUAUAGUUUGGGAUCAGGUUACCUAAGAGAUCAGCUUAUCCCUUAUAUACCAAAGAGAUCACUGUGGUCUGCAGCCAACUCUCUGCCACAAGUUCUCAGAAAUCUGCUCCACAGUAACUCAGAGAAAGGCUUUUAGUGCGGCUGCCACUGUUCUGUGGAAUAGUGUUCGUCUUGAGCUACGACAGGUGCCUACCUUCUGCACUUUCUGGAAACUGGUGAAAAUCCCCCCCCCCCCCAGGCGACUUUCCCUGCUUGGUAAAUGAAUGCCUACAAAUAGUGUUGGGUUUUUAAUCCUAUUUGUUGUUUUUCUGUUUAACUAUUUUUAAUUAAUUAGCGUGUUAAUUGCCUUUAGAUGGUGGUUCAGAAGGCGAUUAAUAAAUUAUUAUUAAUAAGUGAAAAGAACAGGGUAGGUCUUACAAAAUAUAUAGACUAGCAUGUUGCAUAUUGUUCCAGAAAGGGCAAAAUAGGUGGUUGCUGUUGGCAUCCAUCUGUCUGAAAAGACAGUGUGCCUCUGGGGAAGAAAUCAAACCUCUAGAGAAUUACACCAACUGUUGUGGCUGCAGAGACCAGUUCCUUGUAACUGCUGCCUCUUGGCAGUUUUUGUUGCACUAGCAGCACUGAAGUGACCUCUCUGGGGAGCAAGCCUGGGCGGUGUGUAUGGAGGUCCUAGGCUGCCCAGACAACAAGACCCUCCUCUUGGCCUUGGUGAAAGGAAAGGAAAGCAUCUCAACCACCUUAGGGAUUCUUAGUCCUUUUUCCUCUACAAAGCAGCAGGUAUGGGUUUUUUUCCUUGGAGGUUACUCCUGAAGCCUUUCUCAUGAAUGAGUUUAGCCACAAAGCAAUGGAGGUUUAGGACCAGAGUUUUCUUCUUCUAGAUGGGCUUCCUUCCCAGGUUGACAAGCCCUUCAUUUCUCUCAAAUCAUGUGCAGAAACCACCUCCUUGGCUGUUGGACCCACUAUUGGGCUCAAAACACCAGAGCCCAUAUUCACAUGCAGCGGAAGUCCCUAAUUCACCUGACCAGUCAAAGCUGUUCCUGGGAUUGUGGCUGCUGUUGCAUGCUGACAGUUUCUAGGAGCCACAGGUGAGAGCUGAGUGCAGGGUGGGGAGCAAAGGUAGACAUACUACCCCAGAAGAAGCAAGGCAACCCAAAAGUAGCAUGAUGUGUCUCCCACAAGAGGUACUAAAGGUAAAGGUAAAGGGACCCCUAACCACAAGAGGUACUACCCUACCUGCAACUCCCAACACACCCUGCAGACUAGAUAGGUUCACAUGAAGGACCUAAUCAAAUUGGAUUUCUCCUGCAGCCCUACUUCUGGCUAAAUUCCUGCAAAACAAAUCUGAUGAGGUUUUAGAGGGACAUUUUAAUUUGUGGCUGCUGUAUUUCUGUUGUGGUCAUAAAAGCAUCUGCUCCAGACAACCUUGACACUUUAUAAAUCAAUUCAUCAUAAAAUAAGCCGUGGGUUGUAGCAAAAUGUACUGUUCUCUUCCUGAAUAUAAUUCCUGUUAAACCACAGGAUAGAGCUCUUAAGUUCGAGAACAUUGAUCUAAAUUCUUGCUCACAUUGUUCUGAAAUGGUCUACAC